ACCCCACUCGCUCAGUGGCCCACUUCCCAAAACAAAACGCCCACAGUUAGGCAAACUCUUUCCCGUCCAGGCCUUCAGACCGGCUGCGGCCGUGGUAGCGCGGCCGGGGCCCAAAUCCAGAGUUGAAAUCCAAAGUGUUAGGCCCCAUGCAAGGACGAGGGGGAAGGAACGGGAAGGCGGUCACCCAGAUCCACGCCCGCUUCCUGGGCGGCGUUGAGCAAGAGGCCCGGCCGGCCCCGCAGAGCCGCACGGCCGGCCCCACGCGGCCUCCAGCACCGGGGCGCUCCGGGCUUCCGCUCGCUCGCGAUCCGAAUGAUACUUGAAAAUGGUGGGAAAGGAGUCCUGAGAACGAGAGAGCCCGAGCGGUGCGAGUUUACCCAGCUGGUGUGGCCGCAUCCCGGCCGCUCCGGGCCGGCCGCGCCGCCCGCCGCCGCGCCGCCGGCUUCCUCCGCACCUUGCUACCCUGCGGUCCGCGCUGCCGGCAGCCUGAAAUCUUCUCCGGGGUACAGAGAAAGAGAAAAAAGAGAAAAAACAUUUUGGGGGGAAUGUUAUUUCGUUUCCUGCAUUUGGGCGCUGGUAGUUCAAUUCAAAAUAUGGGAGUAUUUCAGGGAGCCUGGGAAACACCGGGUGAAUAUUGUUGGUUGGUGGUGGUGGGUUUUAUUUUUUUUUCUUCCUCCCAAACACUCCUUGAUUGAGGAACAUAAACCUGGAAGCCGGCGCCUAUGCAUCUAGACCUGUGGAGCUGACUCUUAGAAUUUAUUCGAUGAUAAACCUCGGAUUAUUUAAAUGUAAAGAAUAGGUAUCCAGACUGAGAGGGGGGAAUGCAGGUUGGAAUGGAAAUGCAUUUUAGGAGGAUCUCUUUAAUUUGAAUUUGUAAGUGAGAAUCCCCUGAACCUGCAGUGUCCCCCAUUAAUGACCGCAGAACCCCCUGGAGAGGACACAGAGCUGUCGCUGGGAACCUGGGUGUGUGGGCAUUUGGGAGGGAGAGGCAGGGGUCUGGCUUCACCCUCUUCUAAUUUCUGGGGUGCAGAGGCGAGAAUCUGGUUGCUAGACCCUCCACCUUGGCCUCUAUCAGGGCUGCCUUUCUUCUGCUGGGGCAAAAACUAGGCCCUAGGGGAUCUAGGGCCCCCACACCCGCAAUGCUACAAGCGUCACAGGUGGGGGUCCUGCCAUCUAGAGGGCUGGGAAUGAGGGGGGCAUUCAGGAGGGGGGAGGGGGUAGUGAAGCUCUCAUUUUGCCCUGAUGCAAGUGGCAAUCCUGGAUACCCGCUGCUACUCCCGACUCACCCCAAAACUACCUCAGAAUGGCCCCUGUAUGGAGGAUUUGGGGUGAAUUCUUACUAGAAGAGGGGGCAGAGCUCCUGUGAGAAUAGGGAGGUUCUGGAAAGAAUCCCCUUCCCAGAUGGACCCUUGUGGCUCCUCCGCCUGAUUCCCUGCACCCCAAAUCUCCCCCCUUCUCAUUCUGGGGUUUCCCCAAAUAGCGAGAAGGAGAAGAAAAGAAGAUGGCGACUGAGAAAAGGGUUGCUGGUGGAGCAGCCAUGAAGAAAUGC
Suricata suricatta (meerkat) is the source of this 1549-nucleotide long non-coding RNA. Lineage: Eukaryota; Metazoa; Chordata; Mammalia; Carnivora; Herpestidae. The record is from Ensembl.